AAGGGACCUAGCGUAGUUCGGAAUUACUUGGCUUAAAGAGUUCGUAGGUGGUUGAAAAAGUUGGUGGUGAAAUCCCAGAACUUAACUCUGGAACUGCCAUCGAAACUUUUCAGCUAGAGUAUGAUAGAGGAAAGCAGAAUUUCUAGUGUAGAGGUGAAAUUCGUAGAUAUUAGAAAGAAUACCAAUUGCGAAGGCAGCUUUCUGGAUCAUUACUGACACUGAGGAACGAAAGCAUGGGUAGCGAAGAGGAUUAGAUACCCUCGUAGUCCAUGCCGUAAACGAUGUGUGUUAGACGUUGGAAAUUUAUUUUCAGUGUCGCAGGGAAACCGAUAAACACACCGCCUGGGGAGUACGACCGCAAGGUUAAAACUCAAAUGAAUUGACGGGGACCCGCACAAGUAGUGGAGCAUGUGGUUUAAUUCGAAGAUACGCGCAGAACCUUACCAACACUUGACAUGUUCGUCGCGACUCUAAGAGAUUAGAGUUUUCGGUUCGGCCGGACGAAACACAGGUGCUGCAUGGCUGUCGUCAGCUCGUGUCGUGAGAUGUUGGGUUAAGUCCCGCAACGAGCGCUACCCUCACUUUUAGUUGCCAUCAUUAAGUUGGGCACUCUGAAAGAACUGCCAGUGAUAAGCUGGAGGAAGGUGGGGAUGACGUCAAGUCCUCAUGGCCCUUACGUGUUGGGCUACACACGUGCUACAAUGGCAUCUACAACAGGAAGCAAAACGGCAACGUUAAGCAAAUCCCGAAAAGAUGCCUCAGUUCGGAUUGCACUCUGCAACUCGAGUGCAUGAAGCUGGAAUUACUAGUAAUCGUGGAUCAGCGUGCCACGGUGAAUGCGUUCCCGGGUCUUGUACACACCGCCCGUCACACCAUGGGAGUUGGUUCUACCUUAAGGCAAGGUUUCAAACCCUUGACCACGGUAUAGUCAGCGACUGGGGUGAAGUCGUAACAAGGUAGCCGUAGGGGAACCUGCGGCUGGAUUACCUCCUUUCUAAGGAUGAGUGAAAGUAAAAUUUCACUCUAAAUAAUAUACAUCGGUAAUGUUGACCGUCCUCAUUUCUCUUCUUAAAGUAAUGUUUCCUUCUUGUAGGGCCGGUAGCUCAGUUGGUUAGAGCACACCCUUGAUAAGGGUGGGGUCGAAAGUUCGAGUCUUUCUCGGCCCACCAAAAACCUAAAUGGGGGAUUAGCUCAUCUGGGAGAGCGCCUGAUUUGCAUUCAGGAGGUAGCAGGUUCGAUCCCUGUAUCCUCCACCAGGAAACAUUUAGUUAUUAAAACUGUAAAUUAAAAUAAUUUAUAUCAAUAUCUAUAUCCGAACGUUAAAAGUUAUUAUUUAAUGUUCAAAAUAAAAAUUUGAUCACAACAUAGAUAAAUUUUCUUUUUAAAAAGAAUUUUUUUCUGUGCAUAAAUCAAGCGUUUAAGGGCGUGUAGUGGAUGCCUUGGCACUGAAAGCCGAUGAAGGACGUGAUAUGCUGCGAUAAGUUUCGGGGAGCUGUAUGUAAGCUUUGAUCCGAAAAUUU
This 1520-nucleotide small RNA is filed under the name uncultured Arctic sea ice bacterium. Its description in RNAcentral is "bacterial SSU rRNA". The stretch from base 1 to 994 matches the Rfam family "Bacterial small subunit ribosomal RNA", at positions 528 to 1533 of the family's 1533-position model. The record is from RNAcentral.